GUGAGGAAUAUUGGUCAAUGGGCGCAAGCCUGAACCAGCCAUGCCGCGUGCAGGAAGACGGUCCUAUGGAUUGUAAACUGCUUCUAUUUGGGAAUAAACUCCGGUACGUGUACCGGCCUGAAGGUACCAAAUGAAUAAGCACCGGCUAACUCCGUGCCAGCAGCCGCGGUAAUACGGAGGGUGCAAGCGUUAUCCGGAAUCAUUGGGUUUAAAGGGUCCGCAGGCGGUCUUAUAAGUCAGUGGUGAAAGCCUACAGCUCAACUGUAGAACUGCCAUUGAUACUGUAGGACUUGAAUUCGAUCGAAGUGGGCGGAAUGUGACAUGUAGCGGUGAAAUGCUUAGAUAUGUCACAGAACACCGAUAGCGAAGGCAGCUCACUAGGUCUGGAUUGACGCUCAGGGACGAAAGCGUGGGGAGCAAACAGGAUUAGAAACCCUAGUAGUCC
RNAcentral lists this ribosomal RNA (445 nucleotides) under uncultured bacterium. RNAcentral describes it as "partial 16S ribosomal RNA". It matches the Rfam family "Bacterial small subunit ribosomal RNA", at positions 354 to 796 of the family's 1533-position model. The record is from RNAcentral.